This 171-nucleotide unclassified non-coding RNA is filed under the name Botryosphaeria dothidea. RNAcentral describes it as "sequence contains ITS2". The record is from RNAcentral. Lineage: Eukaryota; Fungi; Ascomycota; Dothideomycetes; Botryosphaeriales; Botryosphaeriaceae.
CAACCCUCAAGCUCUGCUUGGUAUUGGGCACCGUCCUUUGCGGGCGCGCCUCAAAGACCUCGGCGGUGGCGUCUUGCCUCAAGCGUAGUAGAACAUACAUCUCGCUUCGGAGCGCAGGGCGUCGCCCGCCGGACGAACCUUCUGAACUUAAGCAUAUCAAUAAGCGGAGGA